This 534-nucleotide long non-coding RNA is filed under the name Capsella grandiflora. Its description in RNAcentral is "long non-coding RNA (CGRA_LNC000695)". Lineage: Eukaryota; Viridiplantae; Streptophyta; Magnoliopsida; Brassicales; Brassicaceae. The record is from RNAcentral.
UUCCUCAGCCUCCUUUCACCUCUACGAGACCUAGAGGAAAAAGUUAUCAAAACUUCUCAUUUUCUUAAAGUCUCUCUCUUUCUUCUCCAAAUCAUUACUAAAUGAGCAAGGACAACUUCAACGCCACCGGUUGAUCUUACUGCAGGUAAAUAUGCCUCUGUUUAUCCUUUAUCUUUUGCUCUUCUUAAGUGAGAGAUACCUAAACCUAGUGUCGUUUGUUAUAUAACGACUUACUGAAUAUUUUUCUUUCAUUGUAUUUUGUUUUCAGUUCUGAAAGAUGAGGAUUGAGCUGGCCUUUUGAACGCAAACCACAUGACUACAUGAGCAAAUUUUUAUGCGGUUGGCUGGUAAAAAGUCUUGCCGGAAAGUGGGAUUGAGCAGCCACAACCACUAUCUCGUCGAAAACCCUAUUUUUAAUGGAUUUGGACUUGUUAUUUGUGUGUACUUCUUAUUUUAGUUGUAAAAUUUGUUAAACUGAUUUGUAAAUUGUUUAUUGGGCUUGUAACUUAUUUUGGUUAACCGAAUAAACCGAGG